UAGGGAAUCUUCGGCAAUGGACGAAAGUCUGACCGAGCAACGCCGCGUGAGUGAAGAAGGUUUUCGGAUCGUAAAACUCUGUUGUUAGAGAAGAACAAGGACGUUAGUAACUGAACGUCCCCUGACGGUAUCUAACCAGAAAGCCACGGCUAACUACGUGCCAGCAGCCGCGGUAAUACGUAGGUGGCAAGCGUUGUCCGGAUUUAUUGGGCGUAAAGCGAGCGCAGGCGGUUUCUUAAGUCUGAUGUGAAAGCCCCCGGCUCAACCGGGGAGGGUCAUUGGAAACUGGGAGACUUGAGUGCAGAAGAGGAGAGUGGAAUUCCAUGUGUAGCGGUGAAAUGCGUAGAUAUAUGGAGGAACACCAGUGGCGAAGGCGGCUCUCUGGUCUGUAGCUGACGCUGUGGCUCGAAAGCGUGGGGAGCAAACAGU
This 429-nucleotide ribosomal RNA is filed under the name Gemmatimonadota bacterium. RNAcentral describes it as "Gemmatimonadetes bacterium partial 16S ribosomal RNA". It matches the Rfam family "Bacterial small subunit ribosomal RNA", at positions 355 to 776 of the family's 1533-position model. The record is from RNAcentral. Lineage: Bacteria; Pseudomonadati; Gemmatimonadota.